RNAcentral lists this small RNA (3772 nucleotides) under Rattus norvegicus (Norway rat). RNAcentral describes it as "uncharacterized LOC102553542". The record is from RNAcentral. Lineage: Eukaryota; Metazoa; Chordata; Mammalia; Rodentia; Muridae.
UUUGAGUUCCUGUCCUUACUUUCUUCAGUGGUGAAUUGUAGCAUGGGAGCAUAAACCAGGUAAACCCCUUCCUUCCCACCUGGCUUUGGUUGUGGUGUUUUAUCAUAGCGAUCGUGUCUAACUAUGACACUUGCAUCCGCCUGUGGCCUGUCCUGAUAAUAAAAUCCAGAACACCAAGUGAAACCUGAAGUUCAGUUAAACGACGAAUAAUUUUUAGUGUAAGCUUGUCGCGUGUAACACGGGAAACAUGCGAAACUAACCACACUUUACCUGGCAUCCAAAUGAAUUAGCAUCCUGUAUUUUUGACUUGCUAAUUCGGAUGAAGGUUGGCUUUAGGGAUGCUGUAGGGAACAGGAGGUAGGUUAAGCCAUUGCAGCUGCCACAAGAUAGGCUACCUUACCUCCUCCCAGCAUUCAGUGGUAGUGAGAAAUGGGGCUAAUACAGCAGCCCCAGUGGCCUCUCAUCACCUCAGAAGUGUUACUCUUUUCAUGAGUGCAUCUCAUUGUCAGGUUUUUAAGCAGAGCUUGCGGGUGGCUGGUCCUUCACUGUUCAGCAUGGAGGACCUGGCCCAGAACAGUUGUGUGGUAACCAUUUCUUAAACGAAUGGACAAGUUUUAAAGCGCACCACCCCAGAAGUGGCUGACGGUCCUUGGUGGCCGUAUUACGUCAGUGUUUGUCAGCUGCCAACACACACUCAAGACAAGUUAUAGAGAGAAGAGGUUUUCAGGCUCUAGGUCAGGAGGUUCCAUAUGAGGCAGGCAUUGAUUUUGGGCCUUUUCUAGGGGAGCCUGAAGGUGAUGGCAGGUAGUUGUGAGAAGCAACAACGUCCACCUCACGGCUAAGAUACAAAACAGAGGAAGAGGAGAGGGCUGGGGUCUUAAAUCCCCUUAAAGAACACACCCACUGUGACCUAAUAUGUCUCACUAAGAGUGACGUCAUAAAGCUUCCAUUGCUGGACGCCAAGCCUCCGGGGACUUUGGGUCAGACAUUUAUCCAAACCAUAUCAAUGUCUAUGGUCCGGUGUUGUCUAUUUCAGGUUGAGUCAGAUGUUGACAGAGUAUGAAGGCCCAUCAGGGCCAUAGAGCAGUAGAGUAGCCUUUGAGUCGGCCUCUUAGUGUGAUUCAGGUAUGGGGUAUAACCAGAACAUUUAGUCUGACUGCUGCACACGGCCUGUCUGAUAACCCCAUCCUGUCCAGCAUGGUGUCUGCACGCUGAACAUUCUUAGCAGAUGGUGGGCUCUAUGCUCAUUACUCUUAAUACGAUUUAUUACCACUGAAGGGACUCGAGGAUAAAAGGAAAACCUGCCAAUAGUGUCACUGGGGCAACAAGCCAGCAGAGCUAUUCUUGGAAAUGUGGAGCUUCGGGCAUGGGACCUUUGAGCAUGAAGCAGCAAAUGGCAAAUACAGUGCAGAUUCCCCUAGGCAGCGUGGUGCUUAGGCUCAUCCUUUACACACCAUGAUGAUGUAAUCCCACCAGCUCCGCUCGGACGCACUUCCUCCUGGAAGAACGUUUACCAGAGUCAGUCUAUGCUAAGUCUGUCACGAUCUAAUUCAGAUGAUGUUCUGCUGCGUGCGUAACUGGAACAUCCCAAGGGAAGGGUCUACGUGAUUUAAUUUUGUACUAUAGCAUCCAGCACACUUCCCGGUUUUAUGAUGUAUGUUUGUAUCAGAUAGAGUAGGCUGGGUUUUUGCCGCAGUACAAAGAUGUGCUUUCAGAUUUUGGCAGCUUAUUUUAACCAAGGGUUACUUUCUUGCCCAUGUCAUUUGUUCUCUGUUGGUCCUGAUGUUGUUUGUCCUCUGUUGGUCGGCAUAGGGAGGAGUUCACUGACUCCUCAUCUGAGACCUAGGGUGUAGGGCAAGUUUUGAACGGAAUGUUGAAAUCCUCUUGAUAGAGCCACAGUAUGGAGCCCCAGGCUGCCUCUCAAAGCUCCUCAGAACAAUUACUUCCACUUAUACCUCAUGACAAACCAAACCACGCAGUCAAGCUGACCUCCUGAGAAGAAGGGAAAUACCAUUCUCCCUCACGGAAGAAGAGAAAAGGUUUUUGAACAAGAAUACAAUCUUCUACAGUGCCCAGGUCAAGCAAAAUUCUAUGAAUUUUGUAUUUGUGAAUGCAAUGUUUGGUACCACUGCAGCAACAAUUAUAUGGAUUCAAAUGGAAUCCCAUUACAACUGCUCUUUGGAGACGCACCGCUCUCUGAAAAGGGAGUGAACCAAGCAAGCCUGAGCUAUUCUUAGUCUAGCCCUGGCUCUUAUACUCGGACUGUGUGGGACCAGAAAGACGAGCCCUUAGAGAAAGAGGAAACUACAUCCGAGAACAUGGGAUGGGCUUCUCAAAGCAAUCGAGGCCUAUUAAAACACCUUUUAAACCUAGACUUUAAACACAGGAAUUGUUGAGGGACACGUGGAGAAGAGCUGGGACCUACCCAAGCACACAUGUGUGUUUCUCAGGAAGAGUCACAAGAGAUUAUGGGAUGGCUCUGGAGAUGCCUCAGAAGGGAUAACAACCUGAUAAGGUAAAACCAGGAGCCUCUGGGAUUGCCCAAGGGGCUUAAGACAUGCCCUUUACUGGAAAUGGGGCUGCUGUUGUUGAGAUGCCUUGAAAAUUUCAGGCUCUCAGCUGGGAAAGGAGAAAGGUCUUAAACAGCCAUUGCCUGACUUGCUUCAACUAUACUGAUAGGAUUUGAGUUUUCCACUCCUCUUACGCCCUCUCAUUUUCAAGGUGCUUCUGUCCUGCCUCCGUCUUGAUCUCUAGGAAAAUGUUAAAGAAAGGGGAGAGGAGACCAACCUGCCAUAGAGUUCUAAAUUAAGAUAUUGAACAUCUUGUGUGUUGGGAGAAAUGCAUACAUAUGUAAUGAAUGACCUUGCAUUUAUGGUGCUUGUCCCUCCAGGAGUGUCUGUGCUUUGUAUAGCUCAACUCCAUUUCCUCCUGGCCACUGAGCUCUCUUGCCUUCUUCUCGAAUGUCUUCCAGGUGGAACUGCAUAGGAUGCAUCCUUCUGAUGGCUUCUUUCGCUUGGCAACGUGUUCAGUUUCCCCUGUGUCUUCUCCUAGAUCGAACAUUCAUUUUGCUUGCUGAGUAACACCUGGGUGCAGGUACUGAAUUCCAGGUCAAGGGUUCUGCUGAAGUGGAAUUAAAAUAAAAUGUGGCUUACACAGUGUGCUGCAGGAGAUGGACUAAACACACCACGGUCCUCACAAGUGAAAGUUUAGUGAAUGACCUGCCACACGGUCUCUCAUGAAAUAUCUGGGUAGAGUUUUCUCUUAUAGGGUACCUUUUUUUUCCAUUUUGGGGAGUUUCCCCAUUGUCACAGAAAAUCCCAUUCGAGGGGUUUCGCUAAAUGUUGGACUCUAUUAGUGAAGAGAGAUCUUCCUGUUGAAACACAGGACUGGAUUUUUGAGUGGAGCAAGAGUGUCCCCUUCACAGAACAUGUUCACGAAUCAAAGCCCUGUAGGAGGAACUGGCAUUUCUUGCUAUCGCAUCGACUCCAGUGGCUGAGUCUUUGGCCUGAAAGGAUCCCUCCAUGCUAAAUGAAGAAGACCUGAUAGAGGAGAGCAAAGAAGAGAAGUGGGAAAUGGAGAGAAUUCAAAGAGCCAGUUCAGAGACUGCCGAGAGGAGAGAUCCAGCUGACUCUGGUUUUCUGUUGUUGAGAAAUAGUCACUGUCCCACAGAAGCUGCCACAGGUGUAACAAUGUGGAGAGAACUCUGUGUGUGUGUUAAUGUAUGUAUUUAUGUGCAUGGGUGUGAUGUGUGUUUGUGUUGUGUGUAUAUGUG